UCGUUUAUGCAGUGACUGCCGCAGAAUGCCGCAGAUGUCGUUCGUUUACUCCACCUGCGCAACCGACUGCAGCGCAGUUUGUUGUUCGUUUAAGCAGAGCUGCUGCCUAUCUGCGCAGCCAUCUCGGAGGUCCUGCUCAGGAUGCUUUGCUCGCAGUACUGCGGACUACUGCGUAAACGAAUGUAGUCUUCUCCAUUGUUAAGCCAAUUGAACUUGGAAACGUUGCCUGAAAAUUAUUUCAAUUAUGAGUUAUGUUAUGAAAGUUCAGAACAAAGAAGGUGGAGAAUAACUCCUCCAAAUAGGUCCUACAAAACUAAAAGUAAUGCAAGUCAUUCCUAGCUAUCAAGCUACUUCGUCCCCAGUUAGUUUGGAAAAAUCUGAGAAGUCUACAUUCAGCAACAUUUCAAUCCUACCGUCAUCACUGUCUGAAAAUGUUAUGUGCACACGUCAUAUGUCAGAACCUUCAACCUAUUUAAAAAUUUUAUUAUAUUUAUUCAAAUAAUAAUUCAUAUUUAUUUAAAAUUUCUUUACUUACGCACUCCAAUUACAAUCUGAGCAGUCAAUUCACGCAGGUGAUCGUUCGAUAAAUGAUGUCACGUGACUCGCAGAUAAUAGACGCAGUGGAUGCGCUAAUCGCUGCAUAAACGAAUGCACCCUUGUACUCUGUACUCCUGCUGUCAUUGAGUACGUUUACACGCACCUUUAAUCGGGUUUAAGAACAUCCAUAGUUGUAAAACUGGCCAAUCACAGCUAUUCCCCUGAAGAAUGGAACGGCUGUGAUUGGCCAGUCUUACAACUACAGAUGUUAUUAAAAUCGAUUAAGGGUGCCGUGUAAACGUAUUCAGAGAGAAACAUUAAUCUGGAACACUGGUUGGGUCUAGAAAUCUCUAGGGAUUUCUAGAUCCUCACAGGUAUCCCUAUUUUUUGUUGAAUUUUAUACUGAGCUACUGCUGCUACCUUGGGCGACAAAUUUGAAAUGUUAAUAAAAAGCAUGAUUAUUGUAA
Long non-coding RNA from Nylanderia fulva, 1004 nucleotides. RefSeq lists it as uncharacterized. Lineage: Eukaryota; Metazoa; Arthropoda; Insecta; Hymenoptera; Formicidae. The record is from RefSeq and is a predicted model, not a curated record.